GACGGACGCUGGCGGCGUGCCUAAUACAUGCAAGUCGAACGCUGAAGGAGGAGCUUGCUUCUCUGGAUGAGUUGCGAACGGGUGAGUAACGCGUAGGUAACCUGCCUGGUAGCGGGGGAUAACUAUUGGAAACGAUAGCUAAUACCGCAUAAUAUUGACUAUUGCAUGAUAGUCAGUUGAAAGGUGCAACUGCACCACUACCAGAUGGACCUGCGUUGUAUUAGCUAGUUGGUGGGGUAACGGCUCACCAAGGCGACGAUACAUAGCCGACCUGAGAGGGUGAUCGGCCACACUGGGACUGAGACACGGCCCAGACUCCUACGGGAGGCAGCAGUAGGGAAUCUUCGGCAAUGGACGGAAGUCUGACCGAGCAACGCCGCGUGAGUGAAGAAGGUUUUCGGAUCGUAAAGCUCUGUUGUAAGAGAAGAACGAGUGUGAGAGCGGAAAGCUCACACUGUGACGGUAUCUUACCAGAAAGGGACGGCUAACUACGUG
RNAcentral lists this ribosomal RNA (495 nucleotides) under uncultured bacterium. RNAcentral's name for it is "partial 16S ribosomal RNA". It matches the Rfam family "Bacterial small subunit ribosomal RNA", at positions 28 to 507 of the family's 1533-position model. The record is from RNAcentral.